GACGAACGCUGGCGGCGUGCUUAACACAUGCAAGUGGAGCGACGAACCAGGCUUCGGCCUGGGGCAAAGCCGCGAACGGGUGAGUAACACGUGGGUAAUCUGCCCCGACGACCGGGACAACUCGAGGAAACUCGGGCUAAUACCGGAUGUGCUCUUUUCGCAUCAGCGAAUUUGAGGAAAGGAAGCUUCGGCCUCCGCAUCGGGAUGGGCCCGCGGCCCAUUAGCUUGUUGGUGAGGAACGGCUCACCAAGGCUUCGAUGGGUAGCUGGUCUGAGAGGACGAUCAGCCACACUGGGACUGAGACACGGCCCAGACUCCUACGGGAGGCAGCAGUGGGGAAUCUUGCGCAAUGCGCGAAAGCGUGACGCAGCAACGCCGCGUGGGGGAAGAAGGCUUUCGGGUUGUAACCCUUUCAGGAGGGACGAAGCCUGGUCGGUGAAUAGCCGAGCCAGGUGACGGUACC
Molecule: ribosomal RNA, 463 nt
Filed under: uncultured bacterium
Lineage: Bacteria
Description: bacterial SSU rRNA
Rfam family: Bacterial small subunit ribosomal RNA
Source: RNAcentral